RNAcentral lists this ribosomal RNA (1372 nucleotides) under uncultured bacterium. RNAcentral describes it as "bacterial SSU rRNA". It matches the Rfam family "Bacterial small subunit ribosomal RNA". The record is from RNAcentral.
AGAGUUUGAUCCUGGCUCAGGAUGAACGCUGGCGGCGUGUCUUAGGCAUGCAAGUCGAACGCCCCGACGUUACGUCGGGGAGUGGCAGACGGGUGAGUAACGCGUAGGAAUGUACCCCCAAGAGGAGAAUAGCCUGUCGAAAGAUAGGGUAAUACUCCAUACGCCCCGCAUUUAUGCGGGGGAAAGAGUGUAACUACUCGCUUAGGGAGCAGCCUGCGUCCUAUCAGCUUGUUGGUAGGGUAAUGGCCUACCAAGGCUUCAACGGGUAGCCGGUGUGAGAGCACGGCCGGCCACAAUGUUACUGAAACACGGAACAUACGUCUACGGACGGCAGCAACCGAGAAUAUUGCGCAAUGGCCUAACGGCUGACGCAGCGACGCCGCGUGAAGGAUGACAGCCUUCGGGUUGUAAACUUCUUUUAUCCCGAUUUCAGGUCGGGAAGAAUAAGCACCGGCAAACUACGUGCCAGCAGCAGCGGUAAAACGUAGGGUGCAAGCGUUAUCCGGAUUUACUGGGCGUAAAGAGUAUCGUAGGCGCCUCACCGCAUCUUGCUUUAAAUCCUAAGGCUUAACUUUAGACAGGGGCAAGAGAUGAGUGGGGUAGUGCACAGUCGGGGAUGUUGGAAUGUCUGGUGGAGGGGUGAAAUCCGUUGAGAUCAGACAGAACACCAAGGGCGAAGGCAAAUGUCUAGACUGUUGCAGACGCUGAUGAACGAAAGCUGGGGUAGCAAAAGGGAUUAGAGACCCCUGUAGUCCCAUGCUGUAAACGAUCUCUACUAGCUCUCCCCGACGUCCGUCGGGGGGGGCGUAAGCUAACGCGUUAAGUAGAGCGCCUGGGAAGUACGGCCGCAAGGCUAAAACUUAAAGGAAUUGACGGGAAGGCGCACAACCAGUGGAGCAUGUGGUUUAAUUCGAUACAAAGCGUAGAACCUUACCUGGGUUUGACAUCCCGCUGCAUUCCUGAUGAAAAUUGGGAGUUCUUUGAGAGUGCGGGACAGCUGCUGCAUGGUUGUCGUCAGCUCGUGUCGUGAGAUUUCCGCUUAAGUGCGGUAACGAGCGCAACCCUUAUCCCGAGUUAAAUAUUCUCGGGAGACUGCCUCGACGUACGUCGGGGAGGAAGGAGAGGAUGACGUCAAAUCAGCACGGCGCUUACAUCCAGGGCGACACACAUCCUACAAUGGUUAGCACAAUGGGUUGCGAGGUGGUAACACGGAGCUAAUCCUUAAAACUAGCCUCAGUUCAGAUUGAGGGCUGCAAUUCGCCCUCAUGAAGUUGGAAUUGGUAGUAAUCGCGGGUCAGCAGACCGCGGUGAAUACGUUCUCGCCUUUUGUACACACUGCCCGUCAAGCGAGGAGAGUUGGGGGUAUCCAAAG